UACGGAGGGUGCAAGCGUUAUCCGGAUUUACUGGGUUUAAAGGGUGCGUAGGUGGAUUGGUAAGUCAGUGGUGAAAUACUACAGCGCAACUGUGGAACUGCCAUUGAUACUAUCAAUCUUGAAUGCAGUGGAGGCAGGCGGAAUGUGUCAUGUAGCGGUGAAAUGCUUAGAUAUGACACAGAACACCUAUUGCGAAGGCAGCUUGCUACACUGUGAUUGACACUGAGGCACGAAAGCGUGGGGAUCAAACAGG
This 253-nucleotide ribosomal RNA is filed under the name uncultured bacterium. RNAcentral's name for it is "partial 16S ribosomal RNA". It matches the Rfam family "Bacterial small subunit ribosomal RNA", at positions 524 to 776 of the family's 1533-position model. RNAcentral also lists the same sequence under 2 other names. The record is from RNAcentral.